Molecule: non-coding RNA, 1146 nt
Organism: Misgurnus anguillicaudatus (oriental weatherfish)
Lineage: Eukaryota; Metazoa; Chordata; Actinopteri; Cypriniformes; Cobitidae
Source: RefSeq, a predicted model, not a curated record
UGCAUGACCUCUCUAAAGUCCGUCAUGUUCAUCGGAUGUCCUUAAAACCCCGUAUUCAAUGUAAUCCGGCUCCAAUUGAGUCUCCUGAGGGUCAGUCUAAGUUGCCCACACCCUUAGAAGACGAGUUUGAAGAUGAGGAUUUGGUGUAUGUGUUAGAAUCCCCGCUGGUUCCUCAAGGGGAUGUGGAAAUGGUUCAAGCUCCUUCAGAAGUAAGUGUUAGUCCCACUCCUGGGGUUGAGGAACCAGGUACUAGGCCCACAGCAUUGGAAAGUAAGGGUGUAGGAUCGCAGUCAGAGCUGGGAUUCAUUGGGUUGGGACCGCCCAAUACAUCUGUAAGAGCCCCAAGACGAACUGGGCGUACUGGGGCAGGUCAGCACUCAAACCUUCACCGCUUACCACGAGCUGUAGGUGGUGAGGUUAAUCAGAUUUCUGCCAGAUCUACCUUGGAGUCUAGCUCUCUGGUUGCUUUGUUUAGGCCCUGGGAUUAGUGUUCAUCGUCGGGACUACGAUGACUAAUGGGGGGGUAGAUUGUGGUAAUGCGAUCGACCAGUUGAUUAUUUGUGUGCAAAUGGUAUGUUCCACGGGUAUAAAAGGGGAUGAGAUUGACAGGCAACCAAGCGCACGUCACCAAACGCGUCAUCUGGGAUUUCGGAAGUGAUGUAACUUCCUGUGGGUCGUGUUUAUGUCUACGAGGUAAGCGCUACCACCAGUAGCUGCAUUCUGAACUUUUUCUGUCAAACAGGGUCAUUUGUGAUUCGUUUAAAUUUGCAGUGUGCGGCUGAGGAAUAUUGUGGAUGUGUCGAGUGACACUUUGUCAGCUUUUCACUGAUACACGUCAAGUGUGCGGAGCGGUGUGAGCCCUAUUUGGCAGAAUUGGGGUACCAGUGCGAGCCAGUGUCUGCGGUGUGUGGUGGUGGGACAGCUGUCAACUUGCAGUGAUCACAAUUUGGUGUGUGGUGUUGUGAGAGAACACGAGUGCUUGCUGUGUUUAACUAAAAGGCAGUACAAAUUCCCCCAGUUCUGAAGUGGUAAAACAAGUGUGCAUGGAUGAAUGAUGUCGUGACUUAUUGUACUCUUUUUAACUUUUUGCAUAUUAAAAUGAAUUAUGUAUUUUCCAUGUGUUUUGAAUAAAUUGUUUCAAAUAUU